Molecule: ribosomal RNA, 253 nt
Filed under: uncultured bacterium
Lineage: Bacteria
Description: partial 16S ribosomal RNA
Rfam family: Bacterial small subunit ribosomal RNA
Source: RNAcentral
UACGUAGGGGGCAAGCGUUGUCCGGAUUUAUUGGGCGUAAAGAGCGUGUAGGCGGCCAGACAGGUCCGUUGUGAAAACUCGAGGCUCAACCUCGAGACGCCGAUGGAAACCGUCUGGCUAGAGUCCGGAAGAGGAGGGUGGAAUUCCUGGUGUAGCGGUGAAAUGCGCAGAUAUCAGGAAGAACACCCGUGGCUAAGGCGGCUCUCUAGGACGGUACUGACGCUGAGACGCGAAAGCGUGGGGAGCGAACAGG